AGGUAACUGGCCGUUGGGAACGACCCGAUUGAAAUAUAAGGAUGGCUCGGAUGAAUUAAGUAAAUAAAAUUUUAAUUAGCGUCAUUAAAUUAGAAUGUAAUAAAUUAUGUUUCACUUCCAAAAAGAUUGUAUAAUUCUGGUACAUCAUCAAAAUCUCACGUUGAAACGAGAGUAGGUAGUAUCAUAAGUAGGGAAUCUUAGCCUAGCCCUGGCAUGCAAGGAAUAAGCAAUUAAGCUGGCUAUGGAAACUAGGGAUAGGGUUUGAUGUGUUCCAAGAAGGUGGCAUUAUUGAUCCUGGGCAUUUGAUUUGAACAAAAGGCAAGGAGAAUGGGAACUAUAAAACGUGACUAUAAAGGACAUAUUCUUCGACUAGCUCCAAAUGGUAAAAACUCAAAAUGCUGCCCUUUAUAAUCAAUGGAGCUGCCAUCGAACCUUUCUGGGAUGAAUUCUUCUGGGUCCUUCCAAGACUCAAGGUCUCGUGCAAUUGCCUAGCCAUUGACAAAGACAAGUGUUUUGGGGUCAAUAUCAUAACCUUGUAUUUUGAAAUGAGCCAUGUUUUCUCUUGGAAUAAUAAUUGGAGCUGGAGGAUGCAAUCUGGUAUCUUUGACUAUCAUCUUGACGUAUUGAAGCUCAUUUGUAUCUCGUUCACUGAUAUUUCCUUUGUUUCCAACGCAUCUUCUAAUUUCUUCUUGGGCUUUCUUCAUCAGUUUCGGUUUCCUAGCUAGCUCUGCCAUCGCCCACAUCAUUGUAGUUGUACUGGUAUCUGUUCCACCUAAAAAUAAAUUAUGAUUGACGAAAGUACCAUGAGAUUUGUUUGCAUCAAUGGAUGACUAAAUAAAGAUGACACAAAUAAUUGGAGUUAAUACUAAGGUUUUUGGAUGUAGGAUUUUUCACUGACAUUUGUGCACUUAAUAAAAUUACAUUUGUUUCA
This is a non-coding RNA of Prunus mume (Japanese apricot), 931 nucleotides long. The record is from RefSeq and is a predicted model, not a curated record. NCBI's taxonomy places the organism in Eukaryota, Viridiplantae, Streptophyta, Magnoliopsida, Rosales, Rosaceae.